RNAcentral lists this unclassified non-coding RNA (225 nucleotides) under Hevea brasiliensis (rubber tree). The record is from RNAcentral. Lineage: Eukaryota; Viridiplantae; Streptophyta; Magnoliopsida; Malpighiales; Euphorbiaceae.
CUGAGGGAUUCAGGGAAAGCUGAAUCGUUGAUGUGCGAUAAGGUUGAAAUUAGGGUUCGAAAAUGGAAUAAAGACAAAUAGAACAAAAGAGGACUUUAUGGAUUUCCUCCAAUCACGGCUUAGGAACGAAAUCUUUUGGUGUAUUUAGUACCUGCAAAGAGCACUGAGCAGCACAAGGGCCAAAGGCGUCGCCCCGUCAGUAACAACGGGAUGGAAGAAUUGAGC